GUGCUUGCUUCAGUAGCACAUAUAGUAAAAUUGGAAUGACAAAGAUUAGUAUGCCUUCCAUAUGAUGAUGACAUGCAAGUUUGUGAAACAUCCUAUAUUUAG
This 102-nucleotide small nuclear RNA is filed under the name Erinaceus europaeus (western European hedgehog). The record is from RNAcentral. Lineage: Eukaryota; Metazoa; Chordata; Mammalia; Eulipotyphla; Erinaceidae.